CACGUAGGGUGCGAGCGUUGUCCGGAUUCAUUGGGCGUAAAGCGCGUGUAGGCGGCCAGGUAGGUCCGACGUGAAAACUGGAGGCUCAACCUUCAGACGUCGACGGAAACCGUUUGGCUAGAGUCCGGAAGAGGAGAGUGGAAUUCCUGGUGUAGCGGUGAAAUGCGCAGAUAUCAGGAAGAACACCGAUGGCGAAGGCAGCUCUCUGGGACGGUACUGACGCUGAGACGCGAAAGCGUGGGGAGCGAACAGG
This 253-nucleotide ribosomal RNA is filed under the name uncultured bacterium. RNAcentral's name for it is "partial 16S ribosomal RNA". It matches the Rfam family "Bacterial small subunit ribosomal RNA", at positions 524 to 776 of the family's 1533-position model. The record is from RNAcentral.